CGAUACAAUGAUGAAAACAUAGUUCAGCAGACUAACAGUGAUGAGCAAAUACUGUCUUUCGCUCCUAUCUGAUGUAUCUGGCUACAACAAUUCUGUUUUAUACCUUUGAAAGUGGAAAUUAGUCAUAUUAGUCUUUGUCUCACUGAAAUGUUCAGGAUUUGGAUAAGUAUAAUGUAAGUGUCCUAUAUAGUUAAUUUCAGGAUUAGGAGUUAACAUUUUGAUAAGAACAGGCUAAAACUGAGGAAAUUUCCAUGUCAUAACUGUAGACAACACCAGAAUGAGUAGUUGAUGUAAAUGAUAUCAACCAAAAAACCGUUCCAUUUUGAUUCUGAGGUUACUUUAGCAACAAGUAUCAC
Molecule: long non-coding RNA, 356 nt
Filed under: Bos taurus (domestic cattle)
Lineage: Eukaryota; Metazoa; Chordata; Mammalia; Artiodactyla; Bovidae
Description: long non-coding RNA NONBTAT008018
Rfam family: Small nucleolar RNA snR60/Z15/Z230/Z193/J17 (bases 2-80)
Source: RNAcentral